Molecule: microRNA, 22 nt
Filed under: Sarcophilus harrisii (Tasmanian devil)
Lineage: Eukaryota; Metazoa; Chordata; Mammalia; Dasyuromorphia; Dasyuridae
Description: Sha-Novel-14-P1b_5p* (star (passenger))
Source: RNAcentral
AGUGCCCAGUGUUUGAAAAAGA